This 433-nucleotide long non-coding RNA is filed under the name Zonotrichia albicollis (white-throated sparrow). RNAcentral's name for it is "lncRNA (ENSZALG00000000936.1)". Lineage: Eukaryota; Metazoa; Chordata; Aves; Passeriformes; Passerellidae. The record is from RNAcentral.
UCUUCCUAUUCUUUAAAACCAAGUGUGUCAUCUGAUGGAAAAAUGCUGCUACCAGAGAUGAAGACCCAGCAGGAGCCCAAUGUGAGCACUGCCAAGCUGCCCCAGAGCCCAGUAUGAGCCCUGCAAGAGAAGAGGGAAAAAUAAGUUCCCUAUGGGCAGGUUUGGAGAUGCCCCUUCUGGUUCUCCUGCAGCACCACCAAGUGAUUGGAAGCAAGAGCUGCUCAGACGUGAUGGAGACAAUGGAGCUGAACCUCUCCUAGAAAAAUCACAGGCCACAGGGAGAUGCAAAACCUUCAAGGACAGCUUCUACAGAGCUGGAGUGUUGCCAUGAUGUACUCUCUCUCUCCUGACAUUCAAAAAGAGUAAGGGGAUGCUGACAAGGGGAUGGAGCGACUUCUGCCCAAGGAACCCUGAGAUAAGCCAAGGCACUUCA